AAUUAUUUAAGAGCCGCGGUAUAUUGACCGUGCAAAGGUAGCAUAAUAAUUAGGGGUUUAAUUGGAACCUAGUAUGAAGGGUUGGACAAAGGAAAAACUGUCUUUAUAGCGAAAGUCGAAUUUUACUUUUAAGUGAGAAGGCUUAAAUGAAUCAAAGGGACGAUAAGACCCUAUAAAGCAUUUUGUUGGGGUGAUGUGAGUAUAACUAUUAACUGCUUAAAAAAGAUUCUAUUAUAAGAGACGUGAUCCUUUUUAAAGAUUAGAAGACUAAGUUACUUUAGGGAUAACAGCGUUAUUUCUCUUGAGAGUUCAUAUCGAAAGAGAAGAUUGCGACCUCGAUGUUGAAUUAAAGUAUCUAUAUAAUGCAGCCGUUAUAAAAGAGGGUCUGUUCGACCUUUAAACCUUU
This 406-nucleotide ribosomal RNA is filed under the name Xantho pilipes. RNAcentral's name for it is "partial 16S large subunit ribosomal RNA". It matches the Rfam family "Archaeal large subunit ribosomal RNA", at positions 1995 to 2666 of the family's 2987-position model. The record is from RNAcentral. Lineage: Eukaryota; Metazoa; Arthropoda; Malacostraca; Decapoda; Xanthidae.